Molecule: ribosomal RNA, 496 nt
Filed under: uncultured bacterium
Lineage: Bacteria
Description: partial 16S ribosomal RNA
Rfam family: Bacterial small subunit ribosomal RNA
Source: RNAcentral
GAUGAACGCUGGCGGCGUGCCUAAUACAUGCAAGUCGAGCGAACAGACGAGGAGCUUGCUCCUCUGACGUUAGCGGCGGACGGGUGAGUAACACGUGGAUAACCUACCUAUAAGACUGGGAUAACUUCGGGAAACCGGAGCUAAUACCGGAUAAUAUAUUGAACCGCAUGGUUCAAUAGUGAAAGACGGUUUUGCUGUCACUUAUAGAUGGAUCCGCGCCGCAUUAGCUAGUUGGUAAGGUAACGGCUUACCAAGGCAACGAUGCGUAGCCGACCUGAGAGGGGGAUCGGCCACACUGGAACUGAGACACGGUCCAGACUCCUACGGGAGGCAGCAGUAGGGAAUCUUCCGCAAUGGGCGAAAGCCUGACGGAGCAACGCCGCGUGAGUGAUGAAGGUCUUCGGAUCGUAAAACUCUGUUAUUAGGGAAGAACAAAUGUGUAAGUAACUAUGCACGUCUUGACGGUACCUAAUCAGAAAACCACGGCUAACUACGU